This 367-nucleotide ribosomal RNA is filed under the name Clostridioides difficile. RNAcentral's name for it is "bacterial LSU rRNA". It matches the Rfam family "Bacterial large subunit ribosomal RNA", at positions 948 to 1321 of the family's 2925-position model. Lineage: Bacteria; Bacillati; Bacillota; Clostridia; Peptostreptococcales; Peptostreptococcaceae. The record is from RNAcentral.
AUCAAACUCCGAAUGCCGUCAUCUUAUACUUGGGAGUCAGACUGUGGGUGAUAAGAUUCAUAGUCGAAAGGGCAACAGCCCAGAUCGUCAGCUACGGUCCCUAAAUGUAAGUUAAGAGGUAACGGUUGUGAGAUUGCAAUGACAACCAGGAUGUUGGCUUAGAAGCAGCCAAUCAUUCAAAGAGUGCGUAAUAGCGCACUGGUCGAGUGAUCCAGCGCCGAAGAUUUCCGGGGCUAACACUUACUACCGAAGCUACGGCAUCAGUAAUGAUGGGAAGGGGAGCUACACAUACGGGUUGAAGCAUGCCCGAAAGACAAUGUGGCUUUUAUGGUAGUGAGAAUGUUGGCAUGAGAAGUCAGAUGUAGUG